UACGUAGGCAGCGAGCGUUGUUCGGAGUUACUGGGCGUAAAGGGUGUGUAGGCGGUUCUUUAAGUUUGGUGUGAAAUCUCCCGGCUCAACCGGGAGGGUGCGCCGAAUACUGAGGAACUAGAGUAUGGGAUGGGAAAGUGGAAUUCCUGGUGUAGCGGUGAAAUGCGUAGAUAUCAGGAGGAACACCUGUGGUGUAGACGGCUUUCUGGACCAUAACUGACGCUGAGACACGAAAGCGUGGGUAGCAAACAGG
RNAcentral lists this ribosomal RNA (253 nucleotides) under uncultured bacterium. RNAcentral describes it as "partial 16S ribosomal RNA". It matches the Rfam family "Bacterial small subunit ribosomal RNA", at positions 524 to 776 of the family's 1533-position model. The record is from RNAcentral.